AGGACGAACGCUGGCGGCGUGCUUAACACAUGCAAGUCGAACGGAAAGGCCCUUCGGGGUACUCGAGUGGCGAACGGGUGAGUAACACGUGGGUGAUCUGCCCUGCACUUUGGGAUAAGCCUGGGAAACUGGGUCUAAUACCGAAUAUGACCUCAGGAUGCAUGUCUUGUGGUGGAAAGCUUUUGCGGUGUGGGAUGGGCCCGCGGCCUAUCAGCUUGUUGGUGGGGUGAUGGCCUACCAAGGCGACGACGGGUAGCCGGCCUGAGAGGGUGUCCGGCCACACUGGGACUGAGAUACGGCCCAGACUCCUACGGGAGGCAGCAGUGGGGAAUAUUGCACAAUGGGCGCAAGCCUGAUGCAGCGACGCCGCGUGGGGAUGACGGCCUUCGGGUUGUAACCCUUUCAGCACAGACGAGCGCAGUGACGGUAUGUGCAGAGAGCACGGCCAACUACGUGCCAGCAGUCGCGGU
Molecule: ribosomal RNA, 470 nt
Filed under: uncultured bacterium
Lineage: Bacteria
Description: SSU rRNA
Rfam family: Bacterial small subunit ribosomal RNA
Source: RNAcentral